Molecule: ribosomal RNA, 494 nt
Filed under: uncultured bacterium
Lineage: Bacteria
Description: partial 16S ribosomal RNA
Rfam family: Bacterial small subunit ribosomal RNA
Source: RNAcentral
GACGAACGCUGGCGGCGCGCUUAACACAUGCAAGUCGAACGGAAAGGCCUGCUUUCCCUUGUGGAUUGCGGGUACUCGAGUGGCGAACGGGUGAGUAACACGUGAGUGAUCUGCCCCCAACUUGGGUAUAAGCCUGGGAAACUGGGUCUAAUUCCCGAUAGGACUGCAGGGUGGUGCCUGUGGUGGAAAACGAUUUUCUAGUGGUUGGGGAUGAGCUCGCGGCCUAUCAGCUUGUUGGUGGGGUAAUGGCAUACCAAGGCGGCGACGGGUAGCCGGCCUGAGAUGGUGGACGGCCACAUUGGGACUGAGAUACGGCCCCGACUGCUACGGGAGGCAGCAGUGGGGAAUAUUGCACAAUAGGCGGAAGCCUGAUGCAGCGACGCCGCGUGGGGGAUGACGGCCUUCGGGUUGUAAACUCCUUUCGACCGCGAGGAAGCCACCUGGUUGGAAGGGUGGUGACGGUAGUGGUAGAAGAAGCACCGGCUAACUACGUG